Molecule: unclassified non-coding RNA, 253 nt
Filed under: uncultured Actinomycetes bacterium
Lineage: Bacteria; Bacillati; Actinomycetota; Actinomycetes
Description: uncultured actinobacterium contains 16S-23S intergenic spacer region
Rfam family: Bacterial small subunit ribosomal RNA
Source: RNAcentral
UACGUAGGGUGCAAGCGUUGUCCGGAAUUAUUGGGCGUAAAGAGCUCGUAGGCGGUCUGUCGCGUCGGCUGUGAAAACCCUCGGCUCAACCGGGGGCCUGCAGUCGAUACGGGCAGACUAGAGUGCGGUAGGGGAGACUGGAAUUCCUGGUGUAGCGGUGAAAUGCGCAGAUAUCAGGAGGAACACCGGUGGCGAAGGCGGGUCUCUGGGCCGUAACUGACGCUGAGGAGCGAAAGCGUGGGGAGCGAACAGG